GUGAGGAAUAUUGGUCAAUGGACGGAAGUCUGAACCAGCCAUGCCGCGUGAAGGAUGAAGGCGUUCUGCGUUGUAAACUUCUUUUAUUAGGGAAGAAACCACUUUUUUCUAAGAGUGUUGACGGUACCUGAUGAUUAAGCACCGGCUAACUCCGUGCCAGCAGCCGCGGUAAUACGGAGGGUGCAAGCGUUAUCCGGAUUUACUGGGUUUAAAGGGUGCGUAGGCGGAUUAUUAAGUCAGUGGUGAAAUCCCGGGGCUCAACCUCGGAACUGCCAUUGAUACUAUUAGUCUUGAAUUAUGUUGAGGUUGGCGGAAUAUAACAUGUAGCGGUGAAAUGCUUAGAUAUGUUAUGGAACACCGAUUGCGAAGGCAGCUGGCUAAACAUAUAUUGACGCUGAUGCACGAAAGCGUGGGUAGCGAACAGGAUUAGAUACCCGGGUAGUCC
Molecule: ribosomal RNA, 445 nt
Filed under: uncultured bacterium
Lineage: Bacteria
Description: partial 16S ribosomal RNA
Rfam family: Bacterial small subunit ribosomal RNA
Source: RNAcentral